GAUGAACGCUAGCGGGAGGCCUAAUACAUGCAAGUCGAGCGGGAUACACCUUCGGGUGUUGAGAGCGGCGAACGGGUGAGUAACGCGUACGUAACCUGCCCCAUAGCGGAGGAUAGCCCCGGGAAACUGGGAUUAAUACUCCAUAGUAUCUUGUUAUCGCAUGAUGAUGAGAUUAAAGUUGAGGCGCUAUGGGAUGGGCGUGCGUGCUAUUAGCUAGUUGGUGAGGUAACGGCUCACCAAGGCUACGAUAGCUAGGGGGCGUGAGAGCGUGGCCCCCCACACGGGUACUGAGACACGGACCCGACUCCUACGGGAGGCAGCAGUAAGGAAUAUUGGACAAUGGUCGAAAGACUGAUCCAGCCAUCCCGCGUGAAGGAUGACUGCCCUACGGGUUGUAAACUUCUUUUAUAUGGGAAGAAACCCCUGGUUGCGACUGGGGCUGACGGUACCAUAUGAAUAAGCACCGGCUAACUCCGUGCCAGCAGCCGCGGUAAUACGGAGGGUGCAAGCGUUAUCCGGAAUCACUGGGUUUAAAGGGUGCGUAGGUGGCGAUGUAAGUCAGAGGUGAAAGCCCGGCGCUCAACGUCGGAAUUGCCUUUGAUACUGCGUUGCUUGAAUGAGGUUGAGGUAGGCGGAAUGUGGCAUGUAGCGGUGAAAUGCAUAGAUAUGCCAU
This 673-nucleotide ribosomal RNA is filed under the name uncultured bacterium. Its description in RNAcentral is "bacterial SSU rRNA". It matches the Rfam family "Bacterial small subunit ribosomal RNA", at positions 28 to 702 of the family's 1533-position model. The record is from RNAcentral.